This 72-nucleotide transfer RNA is filed under the name Camelus bactrianus (Bactrian camel). It matches the Rfam family "tRNA". From Rfam's summary of the family: Transfer RNA (tRNA) molecules are approximately 80 nucleotides in length. Their secondary structure includes four short double-helical elements and three loops (D, anti-codon, and T loops). Further hydrogen bonds mediate the characteristic L-shaped molecular structure. tRNAs have two regions of fundamental functional importance: the anti-codon, which is responsible for specific mRNA codon recognition, and the 3' end, to which the tRNAs corresponding amino acid is attached (by aminoacyl-tRNA synthetases). tRNAs cope with the degeneracy of the genetic code in two manners: having more than one tRNA (with a specific anti-codon) for a particular amino acid; and 'wobble' base-pairing, i.e. permitting non-standard base-pairing at the 3rd anti-codon position. RNAcentral also lists the same sequence under 2 other names. Lineage: Eukaryota; Metazoa; Chordata; Mammalia; Artiodactyla; Camelidae. The record is from Rfam by way of RNAcentral.
GAGGGUAUAGCUCAGUGGUAGAGUGCAUGCCUAGCAUGCACAUGGUUCUGGGUUCAAUCCCCAGUACCUCCA